RNAcentral lists this ribosomal RNA (301 nucleotides) under uncultured bacterium. RNAcentral's name for it is "partial 16S ribosomal RNA". It matches the Rfam family "Bacterial small subunit ribosomal RNA", at positions 509 to 807 of the family's 1533-position model. The record is from RNAcentral.
CAGCCGCCACGGGAAUACGAAGGGUGCGAGCGUUAAUCGGAAUUACUGGGCGAAAAGCGCACGCAGGCGGUUUGUUAAGUCAGAUGUGAAAUCCCCGAGCUUAACUUGGGAACUGCAUUUGAAACUGGCAAGCUAGAGUCUUGUAGAGGGGGGUAGAAUUCCAGGUGUAGCGGUGAAAUGCGUAGAGAUCUGGAGGAAUACCGGUGGCGAAGGCGGCCCCCUGGACAAAGACUGACGCUCAGGUGCGAAAGCGUGGGGAGCAAACAGGAUUAGAGACCCCAGUAGUCCCUGUCUCUUAUAC